RNAcentral lists this ribosomal RNA (1397 nucleotides) under uncultured bacterium. RNAcentral's name for it is "16S ribosomal RNA". It matches the Rfam family "Bacterial small subunit ribosomal RNA". The record is from RNAcentral.
AGAGUUUGAUCCUGGCUCAGGAUGAACGCUAGCUACAGGCUUAACACAUGCAAGUCGAGGGGCAGCAUGAUUGAAGCUUGCUUCAAUCGAUGGCGACCGGCGCACGGGUGAGUAACACGUAUCCAACCUGCCGAUAACUCGGGGAUAGCCUUUCGAAAGAAAGAUUAAUACCCGAUAGCAUAGUUUUUCCGCAUGGUUUCACUAUUAAAGAAUUUCGGUUAUCGAUGGGGAUGCGUUCCAUUAGAUAGUUGGCGGGGUAACGGCCCACCAAGUCAACGAUGGAUAGGGGUUCUGAGAGGAAGGUCCCCCACAUUGGAACUGAGACACGGUCCAAACUCCUACGGGAGGCAGCAGUGAGGAAUAUUGGUCAAUGGACGAGAGUCUGAACCAGCCAAGUAGCGUGAAGGAUGACUGCCCUAUGGGUUGUAAACUUCUUUUAUACGGGAAUAAAGUGGAGUAUGCAUACUCCUUUGUAUGUACCGUAUGAAUAAGGAUCGGCUAACUCCGUGCCAGCAGCCGCGGUAAUACGGAGGAUCCGAGCGUUAUCCGGAUUUAUUGGGUUUAAAGGGAGCGUAGGCGGGUGCUUAAGUCAGUUGUGAAAGUUUGCGGCUCAACCGUAAAAUUGCAGUUGAUACUGGGCGCCUUGAGUGCAGCAUAGGUAGGCGGAAUUCGUGGUGUAGCGGUGAAAUGCUUAGAUAUCACGAAGAACUCCGAUUGCGAAGGCAGCUUACUGGACUGUAACUGACGCUGAUGCUCGAAAGUGUGGGUAUCAAACAGGAUUAGAUACCCUGGUAGUCCACACAGUAAACGAUGAAUACUCGCUGUUGGCGAUACACAGUCAGCGGCCAAGCGAAAGCAUUAAGUAUUCCACCUGGGGAGUACGCCGGCAACGGUGAAACUCAAAGGAAUUGACGGGGGCCCGCACAAGCGGAGGAACAUGUGGUUUAAUUCGAUGAUACGCGAGGAACCUUACCCGGGUUUGAACGUAGUCUGACCGGAGUGGAAACACUCUUUCUAGCAAUAGCAGAUUACGAGGUGCUGCAUGGUUGUCGUCAGCUCGUGCCGUGAGGUGACGGCUUAAGUGCCAUAACGAGCGCAACCCUUAUCACUAGUUACUAACAGGUGAAGCUGAGGACUCUGGUGAGACUGCCAGCGUAAGCUGUGAGGAAGGUGGGGAUGACGUCAAAUCAGCACGGCCCUUACAUCCGGGGCGACACACGUGUUACAAUGGCAUGGACAAAGGGCAGCUACCUGGUGACAGGAUGCUAAUCUCCAAACCACGUCUCAGUUCGGAUCGGAGUCUGCAACUCGACUCCGUGAAGCUGGAUUCGCUAGUAAUCGCGCAUCAGCCAUGGCGCGGUGAACACGUUCCCGGGCCUUGUACUCACCGCCCGUCA